UACGAAGGGGGCUAGCGUUGCUCGGAAUCACUGGGCGUUAAAGCGCACGUAGGCGGACUCUUAAGUCGGUGGUGAAAUCCUGGAGCUCAACUCCAGAACUGCCUUCGAUACUGAGGAUCUUGAGUCCGGGAGAGGUGAAGUGGAACUGCGAGUGUAGAGGUGAAAUUCGUAGAUAUUCGCAAGAACACCAGUGGCGAAGCGGCUCACUGGCCCGGUACUGACGCUGGAGGUGA
RNAcentral lists this ribosomal RNA (233 nucleotides) under uncultured bacterium. RNAcentral's name for it is "partial 16S ribosomal RNA". It matches the Rfam family "Bacterial small subunit ribosomal RNA", at positions 524 to 754 of the family's 1533-position model. The record is from RNAcentral.